ACCUGGCUGACUUGGUUGGUAGAGCAUGAGACUCUGGAUCUCAGGGUUGUGAGUUCAAGCCUUACGCUGGGCA
Molecule: transfer RNA, 73 nt
Filed under: Mustela putorius furo (domestic ferret)
Lineage: Eukaryota; Metazoa; Chordata; Mammalia; Carnivora; Mustelidae
Rfam family: tRNA
About the family: Transfer RNA (tRNA) molecules are approximately 80 nucleotides in length. Their secondary structure includes four short double-helical elements and three loops (D, anti-codon, and T loops). Further hydrogen bonds mediate the characteristic L-shaped molecular structure. tRNAs have two regions of fundamental functional importance: the anti-codon, which is responsible for specific mRNA codon recognition, and the 3' end, to which the tRNAs corresponding amino acid is attached (by aminoacyl-tRNA synthetases). tRNAs cope with the degeneracy of the genetic code in two manners: having more than one tRNA (with a specific anti-codon) for a particular amino acid; and 'wobble' base-pairing, i.e. permitting non-standard base-pairing at the 3rd anti-codon position.
Source: Rfam by way of RNAcentral